This 74-nucleotide transfer RNA is filed under the name Staphylococcus aureus. RNAcentral describes it as "tRNA-Trp". It matches the Rfam family "tRNA". From Rfam's summary of the family: Transfer RNA (tRNA) molecules are approximately 80 nucleotides in length. Their secondary structure includes four short double-helical elements and three loops (D, anti-codon, and T loops). Lineage: Bacteria; Bacillati; Bacillota; Bacilli; Caryophanales; Staphylococcaceae. The record is from RNAcentral.
AGGGGCAUAGCUCAAUGGUAGAGCAACGGACUCCAAAUCCUUUGGUGUGGGUUCGAUUCCUACUGCCCCUGCCA